AUCGCAGAAAAGCUUCAGCGUUUAAUUGUGCAAGUUCAAUCGAACUGUGGUUCCCGUCGUCUCAGCUGUUGAGGUUAGGUUGAAUACAAUUGCAUAGGACCCAUGGCUGAGCAGAAUCAAAUUCGGAAGGAUGACCGGAAGUCUGAGGAACGAACCACCAUUUUGAUUAUGCUUGAGGAAACUGUCACACCUCAACCCUUAUGACGUAUGCACUUACUAUAAAUAAAUUCAAAAUUUAAAAUAAAUAAUCUACACGUCAAGUACAAAAACACACAUAUUAUAUUAUUUCAAAAACCAACAUUUAUCAGGUACAUAUUUCAAACAUUCUAAGCCGUAGUGGGACCCUCUCACCACUCUAUAUACUAUACAUUUAUCUACAUGCAAAAAUGAUGAGGAGGUGAAGGUUGCCAAAACGCGUCAGCUGCCGACCCUGAUAACAUGUGGAGUUCCUAUGACCCACGUCAAUCAAAAACGUCACUAAUAUCUUAUUCCUGAAAAAUAAUAGUGGUUUAUGUGAGCCACAACUCAGUGUAUAUAAAUCUUACCUUUAAUUCCACAGCCCAAACAAUCAAUUAUAUUCUUUAACCAAUAUAUAUAACAAUAAUCAACAAAAUUAAAAAUGAUUCCAUAUAGAUAUGCAUAUGCCACUCUGUUCAGUUUAUUAUUCUGUGACAUAUCAAGCCUGACAUCUGCCCGAGAUUCCAUUAUAUCUGACCCGAAUGUCUCAUUGUCAUUGUACAUAUAUAUGACCCUAAGGUCCAUUGCCAUUGUAUAUAUGGCCCGUAGGUCUCAUUGCCAUUGUAUACAUAUAUAUGACCUAAAGGUCCAUUACGAUUGUAUAUAUCCAUUGCCAUUGUAUAUGACCCAUAGGUCCAUUGCCAUUGAUAAGACCCAUGCAAGAUUGUCACAGAUCCUUUUUAAUCCAAUGAUUCAAAUAAUUCUAAAACCAUGUGUAAACGUAUCAAUUGUAUCAAUUUCAUAUUUUGAUCAUAUUUCAUCCAAUAACACCUUUAUAAUAUAAAACAUAUAUCUAUUGCACAAAUUACAUAUUCAUAUCAUCUUUCACAAUCAAUAUCAAAUAACACAUAACUAUAUCAUGUUCAUAUCAUAUAAUUCAAAUAUUCACUCUAAGUCAGCAGCAUAUAGCAAUUAACCACAUAACGCAUGGAAAAUUAAAAGUAUGAUUUAUACACACCUGAUAAAGAUAGAUAAUCUGGCCAGGUUUCUCGAUCUAUAGCCCUUAUUCUUACAAGGAAAAUUAAUCACCUCUUCAAUUCUUCCUCUACAAAGCACCAGAAUAGGUUUUUCCCCUUUUUUUUUUCUUUCUUAUUCUAUUCGUAUGAUAUGUGAAGCUUAAAAGCUUUAUAUGAUGAAGAACUACAAUAAUAUAUCUAAGUCAGCUAAAUAAAUUAUUGAACCACUAAAUUGAUUGAUAUUAUCCAUUGUCUUUCUUUUAUAUUUUUAAUACUAUAGUUUUAAGAUGACUUAUACAUUUGGCAACUUACACGUAUUUUCUACAAGUACACCUAUUACAAUUAAUAUAUUAAAGUAUAACAUAUAUAUAUAUAUUGAUGGCCAACUCUAUAUGUUAAAAAAAGAGAUCACCCUAUUAUUAUUACACUAUUUUCUAAAUAAAGUAGCUACUUGCAUACAACAAAAUUUCUUUAAACUACUAACUAUCUAAUAUUCACAGUUAGUUAAUAAAUACAUAAUCAUAUAUGCAUAAAGGUAAUAUACAUAUGUACUAUAUGAUAUUCGUGCAUAUAUAUUAAUAGAUGAUCUAAUUUACUUAGUUAUUUAAUUAUACUUACCUAUAUUUAACAUAUAUGUAUACAUAAAUAUAUUAUUAAAUCUUUAGAACCUUGCUCAAAAAUAUAAUUAACUAUACUUUAUUUUCUUAUUUAAUUUAAUUCUAUCCUCUUAUGCAAGUGACAAUAUAAUAUGCAAUAAUGUAAAAGGAUGCAUGUUUCGGGUUGGGGAUGUCACAGAAAUACUGAAGAACCUUAGGAUAAAUCUCCUCCUGGAAAGCAUGCUACUCACUAUGGUUGGACCUAAACCAAAAAAAAAGGAAACGGGGUGGUAGAGAUUCACUAGAAGAACUGAUUAAGUCCAUUCUAGCACAUGUAAAGCAGUUAUAUAGGAUUGUCCGUGUAAGUGAUAGAUCAUGCAUAGACAAUCUUCAGAUGGAUAGAAACACAUUUGGUAGAUUAUGUCGACUUCUGCGUGACCGAGUUGGAUUAAUAGAUCAGAAAUUUGUUACGGUUGAAGAACAAAUUGCUAUGUUUUUGUGCAUUCUAUCCCACCACAAAAAGACACGGAUUGUUGGUCACGAUUUCAUGCGUUCACAAACUGUGUCUAAAUAUAUGCAUAUUGUACUCCGUGGGGUCCUUAAUUUACACGAGGUGUUUUUAGUAAAACCUGAGCCAGUUGAUGAUGAUUGUACUGAUCCAAGAUGGAAAUGGUUUAAGAGUUGCCUUGGAGCUUUAGAUGGUACGUAUAUCAACGUCGGGGUACCCAUUGCGGACACCCCUAGGUACCGAAAUAGGAAGGGACAUGUAACGACAAAUACACUUGCGGUCUGUGAUCGACGACUCCGCUUUGUGUAUGUACUGCCGGGAUGGGAGGGAUCAGGGGUGAUUCGAUGAUAUUACGAGAUGCUAUAAGCCGGCCUCUUGGACUGAAAGUUCCCAAAGAUUGCUAUUACCUUUGCGACAAUGCGUAUGCCAACAGUGAGGGAUUCAUCGCACCAUAUAAAGGCGUUCGAUAUCAUUUGAAAGAGUGGGGUCCUAGAACACAAGUGCCGCAAACUCCCGAAGAACUGUUCAACUUGAAGCAUACUAAAGCAAGGAAUGUGAUUGAGCAUUCUUUUGCCGUGCUUAAGAUGCAUUGGGGAAUCCUUCGCAGCCCGAGCUUCUAUCCUAUUGACGUGCAAACUGGCUUGAUAAUUGCUUGAUUCCUCCUGCACAAUUUCAUUCAUACUAAUAUGGAAGUCGAUCCCUAUGAUGACGUCGUAAGCACUCAAAUUUAUGACGGGUAUGGCAGUGACAACGAUGAGCCGGUAGUGCCUACUAUCAAUGUUGUCUCAUCAAUAUUUAUCGCUGCAUUGUUGGGUCAAAGAAUGAUCGGGUGAACGUAGCAAUAUGAGUUUAUGAAUUCAAUCAUUAUCAUUUAUGUAUGUGAGCUAGUCUAUUCGAGAAACAAAUGGUGUGUAUGAAAUGACUAAAUGUUCUUGUAUGAAACGUUGUUAUUUAUGACCCGCAUUUAUAAUUUAUUUUCUUUGUUACUGA
Salvia hispanica is the source of this 3287-nucleotide non-coding RNA. The record is from RefSeq and is a predicted model, not a curated record. NCBI's taxonomy places the organism in Eukaryota, Viridiplantae, Streptophyta, Magnoliopsida, Lamiales, Lamiaceae.